This 2206-nucleotide long non-coding RNA is filed under the name Homo sapiens (human). RNAcentral describes it as "HSALNT0367721". Lineage: Eukaryota; Metazoa; Chordata; Mammalia; Primates; Hominidae. The record is from RNAcentral.
AAUACAUUAGUACAUUAUAUUAUGUUAGUGAGAACUCAUGUUAAAAUAGAGUAAACUUAAAUGGCCGGUGCCCGACGAGUUCCUUUUAUCAUAAUGAUUCUCUUCAGAAUACCAGCCUCCCACAGUUCACCUCUCAGAAAGAAGAAAAGGUGAUAAAAAAAAAAAAAAAGGACUCUUAUGCCUUUUAUCCUUUCCUGAAAUGGGACUACAGAUUUUCUCUCAUAACCAAGUAAAUCUCACAGCACAGAAUAUUACCUUCUUUCAAAAUGUAUGAAAAGCAUCCUGCAUAAUCCACAGCUGUCAUGCUCAUUACCUCCAACAGUCCCGUGUUAAAAGGACUGCCAUGCUACUAAUUGGGCUAUGAGACAAUUGGGCUGUUUUCUUUAACAACAACCCCCAACGAGACUGCACACAAAGUUCCCCCCAUACGCUCGUGCUAUCCUCAUCCUGCUUUUUUCUUUUUAGGUGGGCUCCCAUGUCAACAAGAUGGCUGCUUGCCACAAAAGAAUGUACAGAAGACAUUUAUUUUGUCUGUGAAGAAAGGAAAAUUCUAAGUUAUUCUUCUCAAGGAAAGGAAAGAAAAGCAAUAUUACUCCAUGUCUAUUUUAAUUUGUUUUCAGGCCCAAUUUUAUAGGAAAAACACCUCAGUGGAUGCGACAUUUAAGGGUGGUGGAGUGGUGUGGGGCAUGCAGGGUUUUGUUUAUGGGUGUUGAAAACAAGUAUUCUUGUAGGACUCUUAAUGCAAAUUGAACUGAACAAAUCCCUUCGGCUUUUCAAUACAAAGUGAAGUGGAAAACUGGUGGUUACCUGGCUAAUAUGAUCUAAUAUGAUCAGUGUUGACAGUUACUACAGAUAAUUUGCCUCAAAGUGGAUUUUUGGAGCUGGAUUACAUAAAUUAGCUGUCUAUGCUGAUUAAAUUAACUGGAUUAUCGUCAAAACUCUGCAUCACCCUGUACAAAGAAAUAGCAUUCUAGUGAGCAAACAUGGAUAAUAGUUUGAGAUAUUUUCACCACCAAUGAACUGGCAAAAUAAGCUUUUAAACAUAACUGAACUUCUACAACUUAAAAACAAACUGGAAAGGACAUUCAGCUGCACCAAAAGAGGCAUUAGCAUACAGGUAUCAUCUUUAUUAAUAUGCAGGCAAAUCAUAGAUUUCAUGAUAUCUAUUAAAGGCCAUGUAGAACUUAAAUGACCUCAAACUUAACUGGGGCCCAAAGUGCUGGCACAUUUGUUCAUCCUCAUUUAUCUUAAUGUCGCCUGAAUAAUUUGAUCAAAUUCCUGUGACUUUGAUAUGCAGAUGAGCUAUGAAAAUUAUGCCAAGUAAAAAUGUAAAUUCAGCCCAAUUUAUAAUUGUUCAAAUUUUACAUUCUUUAAUCUUUUUCAAGUAUCAUAAAGCUACAAAUGCCAGACAUCAUAAAAAAUUACUUAAAAUGGGGAGUGCUUACUAUUCACAAACACAUCAAGGAAUUUUUCUUUAAUCAGGUCAAAAUAAAGUAUUUUCUAACACUGAUAUAUUGAAUGAUGAAACAGAGUCCUUUGAGGAUUAAAUGAAGUAGUGGGGAAAAUAAAGAGAAAAUGGUCAAAAUUAAUGAUUCCCCAUAACUCUUUUCUUAUUGAGUAAUCCAGUAGAUUCCUGAGUUGCCAGCCAUAGUCAUUAUAUGUCUAUUUUGAUAAGGCUUUCUUUUAGGCUGGAGGUGCACACAGCACAAUUAGCAAAGGGAGAUUCUUCUUGCUCACUUCCUUCUUCUCUCCUAUUUCCCCCUUUCUACCUAGAUGUACAUUCACUAUGGUCUGAGUCUAAUGUAACGGCAGAGACAGACAUCUCCCUUGAGCUGAGCUGCAGGAAAAGAGGGAUUGUUACUACUAAGAGUGGGGAUCUAUCUGCACCAAAGGGGGCCACAUGUGGCAUCUCAGAAAAAGGAACAACCUACACUGUCUCAAAGUUACAGGAUUGUUUGUGGGAAUGCAGCCUGCUGUGCCAGGAAAAUACCAGGCAGACAUGGAAGUGGAGGACCCAGCAAUAAGGGAGGGAGACAGAUGAGUAGUCACGUCACAUAGCUUAAUGGAGGACUUCCACUUUAGGAAAAUAGAGGGAAAGAGAACCAAGAGAAAGACAGCAGUUUACAAGAAACAAAGUAAAAUAGUAACUUUGGACAGAUCGUGGGGAACUAAAGGAAAUUACUAUACCACCUACUUGCAAAAUCCG